RNAcentral lists this long non-coding RNA (1463 nucleotides) under Felis catus (domestic cat). Its description in RNAcentral is "lncRNA (ENSFCAG00000050166.1)". Lineage: Eukaryota; Metazoa; Chordata; Mammalia; Carnivora; Felidae. The record is from RNAcentral.
UGUUCCUCCAUUUCGAUCACCUGCCCCUGGCCUUCUGUCUGCCGGCCACCGCUCGGACCGCAACUGCGUGCGGUUGGUGCUCUCGACUCCGAAAGAUACUUAGUCCGCUUGAGAGGCGAACAAGCAGGGCGGGGGCACAGAAAGUGCACUUGGCGUGACGGAAACUUACACUUGUGCCUAAAGAACUUGGAGAAAAGUGCCCACGACGGUUGUGGAAAGUUGGAAAAUUCCAGUAACAGGAAUAAGGAGUAUCGUCUUGAGUCGGGGCAUGGGGGGUUGGUUGCCGUAUAUUCAGCUGCCCAGCUCAGGUGCUACCUCAUUCUCUCUGCUGCUACCAAACUAUGGGAAAAGGCACAAAGGCAACAGGAUUUGAAAGUAACUGACUUCCUUUGUAAUUUUAAAUGUUUUAUUCUACGCAUUAAAAGACUUAUUCCAAGAAUGGUGCAUAGGUUUCCACAGAUCACCAAAGGAGUCCUCAGUAGAAAAGCGGUUUAAAAUCUGCAUGCUUGGGAGAAAAGACUCCGUGACCCCAGAAACGGGGGGGGGGGGGGAAUGGGAAGGAAGAUUCAGAAGGAAGAGCUACAAAAUUGGGUGGAGGGGAGGAAAGAGAUGGAUUCUGGGGGCUGGUCCCCACUAAGGACAGUUUGUCUGGACCUCCCCUCCCAACAUUUUGUCUUUCAAAGCAGCCUCUCUUCCAACUGGCUGAUUCUGGGAAAUUCUAGCAUUUUCUACUAGGUGUACUAGGCAUACACUAUGUUCCCUCUACCAGGACCAGAUCCAGCGCCUUACAGUUGGCCUUUUGCUAAUCCUCUCUUUUAUGGCCCUAGGAGAGUCUGUAGGCAAGGCAAAACUUUAUUUCUACCCUCUUGGGGACUCCAAAUGGGUCUGAGAAUUAUGUUGACAUAAGCAGAUUAAUAGGAGAAAAGCACACUGAUAUUUACAUAUACAAUGGGAAGGUCCAACAGGAAAAUGAAAAUUCAAAGAAGUGAGUAGGCCUACGUGUUUCUGUACUAGGUUGAACAAAGGAGAGCAAAAUAUAUGGCAAGAUUAAAGGGAGACACGAGUUAUUUUAACAAGGUCUUUCCAUGUUUCUCUGGGUCCUGACUUCCUGUCUCAGAUGACAAGAAUGUUUCUUUCCUUCUGGUCUGGGGAGAGCACCUUUCACAUGAGUUUUCUCUCCUGCUUUCAGGAAGGAAUGGGGAGGUCAGAGUGCUUAUCUUGCACCUGCUGUUUCCCAAGUGCCUUUGGCUCAAAAUACUCCUUAUGUUGAAGUGGCAGAUUUGGGAAUGGCAUAUCCUGCCACUCUUCAAGUUAAAGCAUGGGAAUAUGCUCAGAGAAAAGGAUACUUAGCCCAGAUCUCCUUCCGGUGCUGUGGGGUCACCAUGCUGACAGUGAGUCCAGCAGUCUCAGAUCAUUCUUAUUAUUUGUUAAUAAAGUAAAAAGAAAACCCUUGGGCUAGGUCA